Molecule: transfer-messenger RNA, 342 nt
Filed under: Clostridia bacterium
Lineage: Bacteria; Bacillati; Bacillota; Clostridia
Also listed under: 2 other names
Rfam family: transfer-messenger RNA
About the family: Bacterial tmRNA, also known as 10Sa RNA or SsrA, is named for its dual tRNA and mRNA-like properties. Its role is to liberate the mRNA from a stalled ribosome.
Source: RNAcentral
GGGGGUGUAUCGGUUUCGACAGGGAGUUAGCAGUAAUAUAAGCAUACCGUAGGCUCGUCUACGUUAAAACGGAACUUAAAAUUAAACGCUAAUAAUAGCAAACAAAUCGCUUACGCUGCUUAAUUGCGUAGCAGUCAGCCAAGAUAUCCGCAGGUCUUGAAUCUGGCUUCAUCUAUGCGGAAACUCUUUUAGCAGGGUUACGGGCUAGGGGAGUACAAGUAACUUGCCAAAGCGUAGUUUGUGAAUAGAAUACGCUUCGGGACAAAUAAAUAUUCACUAAGUAUGUAGAAAGUGUUAUGAAAGACUUUUUGGACAGGAGUUCGACUCUCCUCACCUCCACCA